UACGGAGGGUGCAAACGUUGCUCGGAAUCAUUGGGCGUAAAGCGCGCGUAGGCGGCUGAACAAGUUGGAUGUGAAAGCCCUGGGCUCAACCUGGGAUGUGCAUUCAAAACUGUUCGGCUCGAGUCUCGGAGGGGGUCAGAGAAUUCUCGGUGUAGAGGUGAAAUUCGUAGAUAUCGGGAGGAACACCAGUGGCGAAGGCGCUGACCUGGACGAUGACUGACGCUGAGGCGCGAAAGCGUGGGGAGCAAACAGG
RNAcentral lists this ribosomal RNA (253 nucleotides) under uncultured bacterium. Its description in RNAcentral is "partial 16S ribosomal RNA". It matches the Rfam family "Bacterial small subunit ribosomal RNA", at positions 524 to 776 of the family's 1533-position model. The record is from RNAcentral.